GACGAACGCUGGCGGCGUGCUUAACACAUGCAAGUCGAACGGAAAGGCCUGCUUUCCCUUGUGGAUUGCGGGUACUCGAGUGGCGAACGGGUGAGUAACACGUGAGUGAUCUGCCCCCAACUUGGGUAUAAGCCUGGGAAACUGGGUCUAAUUCCCGAUAGGACUGCAGGGUGGUGCCUGUGGUGGAAAACGAUUUUCUAGUGGUUGGGGAUGAGCUCGCGGCCUAUCAGCUUGUUGGUGGGGUAAUGGCCUACCAAGGCGGCGACGGGUAGCCGGCCUGGGAGGGUGGACGGCCACAUUGGGACUGGGAUACGGCCCAGACGCGUACGGGAGGCAGCAGUGGGGAAUAUUACACAAUGGGCGGAAGCCUGAUGCAGCGACGGCGCGUGGGGGAUGACGGCCUUCGGGUUGUAAACUCCUUUCGACCGCGAGGAAGCCACCUGGUUGGAAGGGUGGUGACGGUAGUGGUAGAAGAAGCACCGGCUAACUACGUG
This 494-nucleotide ribosomal RNA is filed under the name uncultured bacterium. RNAcentral's name for it is "partial 16S ribosomal RNA". It matches the Rfam family "Bacterial small subunit ribosomal RNA", at positions 28 to 507 of the family's 1533-position model. The record is from RNAcentral.